GACGAACGCUGGCGGCGUGCUUAACACAUGCAAGUCGAACGGUGAAGCUCCAGCUUGCUGGAGUGGAUCAGUGGCGAACGGGUGAGUAACACGUGAGCAACCUGCCCCUGACUCUGGAAUAAGCGCUGGAAACGGCGUCUAAUACUGGAUACGAGAAGGGUCCGCAUGGGCACUUUCUGGAAAGUUUUUCGGUUGGGGAUGGGCUCGCGGCCUAUCAGCUUGUUGGUGAGGUAAUGGCUCACCAAGGCGACGACGGGUAGCCGGCCUGAGAGGGCGACCGGCCACACUGGGACUGAGACACGGCCCAGACACCUACGGGAGGCAGCAGUGGGGAAUAUUGCACAAUGGGCGAAAGCCUGAUGCAGCGACGCCGCGUGGGGGAUGACGGCCUUCGGGUUGUAAACCUUUUUCAGCAGGGAAGAAGCGAAAGUGACGGUACCUGCAGAAGAAGCACCGGCUAACUACGUG
RNAcentral lists this ribosomal RNA (468 nucleotides) under uncultured bacterium. Its description in RNAcentral is "partial 16S ribosomal RNA". It matches the Rfam family "Bacterial small subunit ribosomal RNA", at positions 28 to 507 of the family's 1533-position model. The record is from RNAcentral.